This 341-nucleotide long non-coding RNA is filed under the name Trifolium pratense (red clover). Its description in RNAcentral is "long non-coding RNA (TPRA_LNC000868)". Lineage: Eukaryota; Viridiplantae; Streptophyta; Magnoliopsida; Fabales; Fabaceae. The record is from RNAcentral.
UAAUAUCCCUGUUUUGGGACAAAAACUGACGCAUGCAGGUCCCCAUCAAUGGCGGAACCCACAACUGCGCCAUCAAGGAGGCAUGGCGGAACUGUCACUUUUGCCAUUGGGCCCACCUGCUUUUUUCUUUUCUUUUCUUUCUCGUUUUCUCUUUAUUUUGGGGGAAGGAAACUUUACUUUCCCUUUUCUCUCUCUUCCAUCAAUCCACCAUUUUUCUUUCACCACAAAACAACCACCCCCUAUCACUACAUAACCACCUCCACGUUCAUCACCAUCUCCCAUCACAACCAUCAUCAUCUCAAAAACCAAAAACAAAAAGAAACAUAACCAAAUAAAAGNNN